This 1166-nucleotide ribosomal RNA is filed under the name uncultured eukaryote. Its description in RNAcentral is "bacterial SSU rRNA". It matches the Rfam family "Eukaryotic small subunit ribosomal RNA", at positions 367 to 1465 of the family's 1831-position model. The record is from RNAcentral.
ACUAGUGAUUGGAGAGGGAGCCUGAGAGAUGGCUACCACUUCUAAGGAAGGCAGCAGGCGCGCAAAUUACCCAAUCCUGAUACAGGGAGGUAGUGACAAGAAAUAACAAUACGGGUCCCAAUACGGGCCUUGUAAUUGGAAUGAGUACAAUUUAAACCCCUUAAUGAGUAACAAUUGGAGGGCAAGUCUGGUGCCAGCAGCCGCGGUAAUUCCAGCUCCAAUAGCAUAUAUUAAAUUUGUUGCAGUUAAAAAGCUCGUAGUUGGAUCUUGGAAUAGGGAGCAACCGGUCUGCCUUGAUAGGUAUGUACUGUUGUUCCCGUUCUCAUUUGAUGGAAACUUAUCUCUACUCUUAAGUGAGCGGAGAGUAGAUCAGUGGUAAGAAUAAUACUUUCUUCCAUUAUCUCUCGAGAUGAUGGUUGUAUUGUUAUGUUAUUCAACACUCCUACUUUUGUAAGUUCCAUCUCAUUUACUUUGAAUAAAUUAGAGUGUUUAAAGCAGGCGAUUUUUUGCCAUUGAAUACAUUAGCAUGGGAUAAUUGAAUAGGACUUCGGUUCUAUUUUGUAUUGGUUUUUAGGACUGAAGUAAUGAUUAAUAGGGAUAGUUGGGGACAUUGGUAUUUAAUUGUCAGAGGUGAAAUUCUUGGAUUUAUGAAAGACUAACUUCUGCGAAAGCAUUUGUCAAGGAUGUUUUCAUUAAUCAAGAACGAAAGUUAGGGGAUCGAAGACGAUCAGAUACCGUCGUAGUCUUAACCAUAAACUAUGCCGACCAAGGAUUGGGAGACAUUAUAUUUUUAAAUGACCCCCCCAGCACUUUGCGAGAAAUCAUAAGUCUUUGGGUUCCGGGGGGAGUAUGGUUGCAAAGCUGAAACUUAAAGGAAUUGACGGAAGGGCACCACCAGGAGUGGAGCCUGCGGCUUAAUUUGACUCAACACGGGAAAACUCACCCGGCCCGGACACCGUAAGGAUUGACAGAUCGAGAGCUCUUUCCUGAUUCGGUGGUUGGUGGUGCAUGGCCGUUCUUAGUUGGUGGAGCGAUUUGUCUGGUUUAUUCCGAUAACGAACGAGACUCUGGCCUACUAAAUAGAGACAGAACUAUUACUGUUCUGGAUUCUUCUUAGAGGGACAAGUGGUUUUCAGCCACACGAAAUUGAGCAAUAACAGGUCUGU